CCAGAGAACUUAGCAGAGAUGCUUUGGUGCCUUCGGGAACUCUGAGACAGGUGCUGCAUGGCUGUCGUCAGCUCGUGUUGUGAAAUGUUGGGUUAAGUCCCGCAACGAGCGCAACCCUUAUCCUUUGUGCCAGCGGCUCGGCCGGGAACUCAAAGGAGACUGCCGGUGAUAAACCGGAGGAAGGUGGGGAUGACGUCAAGUCAUCAUGGCCCUUACGGCCAGGGCUACACACGUGCUACAAUGGCGCAUACAAAGAGAAGCGACCUCGCGAGAGCAAGCGGACCUCACAAAGUGCGUCGUAGUCCGGAUUGGAGUCUGCAACUCGACUCCAUGAAGUCGGAAUCGCUAGUAAUCGUAGAUCAGAAUGCUACGGUGAAUACGUUCCCGGGCCUUGUACACACCGCCCGUCACACCAUGGGAGUGGGUUGCAAAAGAAGUAGGUAGCUUAACCUUCGGGAGGGCGCUUACCACUUUGUGAUUCAUGACUGGGGUGAAGUCGUAACAAGGUAGGCGUAGCGAG
Molecule: ribosomal RNA, 520 nt
Filed under: uncultured bacterium
Lineage: Bacteria
Description: bacterial SSU rRNA
Rfam family: Bacterial small subunit ribosomal RNA
Source: RNAcentral